RNAcentral lists this ribosomal RNA (374 nucleotides) under uncultured bacterium. Its description in RNAcentral is "bacterial SSU rRNA". It matches the Rfam family "Bacterial small subunit ribosomal RNA", at positions 524 to 898 of the family's 1533-position model. The record is from RNAcentral.
GACGAAGGGAGCAAGCGUUGCUCGGAAUAAUUGGGCGUAAAGGGUGCGCAGGCGGUUUUUUAAGUGAAAUGUUAAAGACUUGGACUCAAUCUAAGGAGUGCAUUUCAUACUGAAAAACUUGAGUGUGGGAGAGGAAAUAGGAAUUCCUCAUGUAGAGGUGAAAUUCGUAGAUAUGAGGAGGAACACCAAAGGCGAAGGCAAGUUUCUGGAACACAACUGACGCUAAGGCACGAAAGCGUGGGGAGCAAACAGGAUUAGAUACCCUGGUAGUCCACGCCCUAAACGAUGAUUGCUAAACGUUGGAAAUAAUAAUUUUCAGUGUUGAAGCUAACGCAUUAAGCAAUCCGCCUGGGGAGUACGGUCGCAAGACUAAA